UCGGGCCUCAUGCCAUCAGAUGUGCCCAGAUGGGAUUAGCUAGUAGGUGGGGUAACGGCUCACCUAGGCGACGAUCCCUAGCUGGUCUGAGAGGAUGACCAGCCACACUGGAACUGAGACACGGUCCAGACUCCUACGGGAGGCAGCAGUGGGGAAUAUUGCACAAUGGGCGCAAGCCUGAUGCAGCCAUGCCGCGUGUGUGAAGAAGGCCUUCGGGUUGUAAAGCACUUUCAGCGGGGAGGAAGGCGUUCAGGUUAAUAACCUUGUCGAUUGACGUUACCCGCAGAAGAAGCACCGGCUAACUCCGUGCCAGCAGCCGCGGUAAUACGGAGGGUGCAAGCGUUAAUCGGAAUUACUGGGCGUAAAGCGCACGCAGGCGGUCUGUCAAGUCGGAUGUGAAAUCCCCGGGCUCAACCUGGGAACUGCAUUCGAAACUGGCAGGCUAGAGUCUUGUAGAGGGGGGUAGAAUUCCAGGUGUAGCGGUGAAAUGCGUAGAGAUCUGGAGGAAUACCGGUGGCGAAGGCGGCCCCCUGGACAAAG
Molecule: ribosomal RNA, 540 nt
Filed under: Klebsiella pneumoniae
Lineage: Bacteria; Pseudomonadati; Pseudomonadota; Gammaproteobacteria; Enterobacterales; Enterobacteriaceae
Description: bacterial SSU rRNA
Rfam family: Bacterial small subunit ribosomal RNA
Source: RNAcentral